UUUAUUGGAGAGUUUGAUCCUGGCUCAGGAUGAACGCUGGCGGCGUGCCUAAUACAUGCAAGUCGAGCGAAUGGAUUAAGAGCUUGCUCUUAUGAAGUUAGCGGCGGACGGGUGAGUAACACGUGGGUAACCUGCCCAUAAGACUGGGAUAACUCCGGGAAACCGGGGCUAAUACCGGAUAACAUUUUGAACCGCAUGGUUCGAAAUUGAAAGGCGGCUUCGGCUG
This 226-nucleotide ribosomal RNA is filed under the name Bacillus cereus. Its description in RNAcentral is "partial 16S ribosomal RNA". It matches the Rfam family "Bacterial small subunit ribosomal RNA", at positions 1 to 217 of the family's 1533-position model. The record is from RNAcentral. RNAcentral also lists the same sequence under 1 other name. Lineage: Bacteria; Bacillati; Bacillota; Bacilli; Caryophanales; Bacillaceae.